GGGGCGCCAGAGAGGGUG
This 18-nucleotide small nuclear RNA is filed under the name Arabidopsis thaliana (thale cress). RNAcentral describes it as "snRNA_04444". The record is from RNAcentral. Lineage: Eukaryota; Viridiplantae; Streptophyta; Magnoliopsida; Brassicales; Brassicaceae.